RNAcentral lists this ribosomal RNA (484 nucleotides) under uncultured bacterium. RNAcentral's name for it is "partial 16S ribosomal RNA". It matches the Rfam family "Bacterial small subunit ribosomal RNA", at positions 30 to 507 of the family's 1533-position model. The record is from RNAcentral.
AUUGAACGCUGGCGGCAGGCCUAACACAUGCAAGUCGAGCGGAUGAAGGGAGCUUGCUCCUGGAUUCAGCGGCGGACGGGUGAGUAAUGCCUAGGAAUCUGCCUGGUAGUGGGGGAUAACGUCCGGAAACGGGCGCUAAUACCGCAUACGUCCUGCGGGAGAAAGUGGGGGAUCUUCGGACCUCACGCUAUCAGAUGAGCCUAGGUCGGAUUAGCUAGUUGGUGGGGUAAAGGCCUACCAAGGCGAAGAUCCGUAACUGGUCUGAGAGGAUGAUCAGUCACACUGGAACUGAGACACGGUCCAGACUCCUACGGGAGGCAGCAGUUGGGAAUAUUGGACAAUGGGCGAAAGCCUGAUCCAGCCAUGCCGCGUGUGUGAAGAAGGUCUUCGGAUUGUAAAGCACUUUAAGUUGGGAGGAAGGGCAGUAAGUUAAUACCUUGCUGUUUUGACGUUACCAACAGAAUAAGCACCGGCUAACUUCGUG